Molecule: long non-coding RNA, 287 nt
Organism: Cucurbita moschata (crookneck pumpkin)
Lineage: Eukaryota; Viridiplantae; Streptophyta; Magnoliopsida; Cucurbitales; Cucurbitaceae
Exons: 3
Source: RefSeq, a predicted model, not a curated record
AGGGGAUACGGCCACGAGCUGAAUCGGACGGUGAUUCGAAGGGAGGAGAGGUUGAAGACGAGCGUGUGAAGGACACGCGAGGCGCGUGGGAGGCCGCGAGUGGAAGUGCGAUUGUGCGCGGAUCAGGCGUGUGAGAAACGAACCCCCGACCUUCUGUUGGCGCGUGAGGGCGCGUGAGAAGGUCUAAUAGGAAGGAAUUGUGUUGAAAUACUAUUAAACGUACAUUCAAGGGGGAAAAGAAGUUCGCAACCAAGUAAGUAGCGUAUCGACCUUUGAACUAGUUCUUA